UACGGAGGGUGCAAGCGUUAAUCGGAAUUACUGGGCGUAAAGCGCACGCAGGUGGCUGAGUCAGUCGAUUGUGAAAGCCCCGGGCUUAACCUGGGAAUUGCAGUCGAUACUACUCAGCUAGAGUAUGGGAGAGGGUAGUGGAAUUCCCGGUGUAGCGGUGAAAUGCGUAGAUAUCAGGAGGAACACCGGUGGCGAAGGCGGUUCUCUGGGCAUGUUCUGACGCUGAGGAGCGAAAGUGUGGGGAGCGAACAGG
RNAcentral lists this ribosomal RNA (253 nucleotides) under uncultured bacterium. RNAcentral describes it as "partial 16S ribosomal RNA". It matches the Rfam family "Bacterial small subunit ribosomal RNA", at positions 524 to 776 of the family's 1533-position model. The record is from RNAcentral.